RNAcentral lists this transfer RNA (71 nucleotides) under Marmota marmota marmota (Alpine marmot). It matches the Rfam family "tRNA". From Rfam's summary of the family: Transfer RNA (tRNA) molecules are approximately 80 nucleotides in length. Their secondary structure includes four short double-helical elements and three loops (D, anti-codon, and T loops). Further hydrogen bonds mediate the characteristic L-shaped molecular structure. tRNAs have two regions of fundamental functional importance: the anti-codon, which is responsible for specific mRNA codon recognition, and the 3' end, to which the tRNAs corresponding amino acid is attached (by aminoacyl-tRNA synthetases). tRNAs cope with the degeneracy of the genetic code in two manners: having more than one tRNA (with a specific anti-codon) for a particular amino acid; and 'wobble' base-pairing, i.e. permitting non-standard base-pairing at the 3rd anti-codon position. RNAcentral also lists the same sequence under 2 other names. The record is from Rfam by way of RNAcentral. Lineage: Eukaryota; Metazoa; Chordata; Mammalia; Rodentia; Sciuridae.
GUGGCUGUAGCUCAAUGGCAGAGUGCAUGCCUAGCAUGUGUGAGACACUGGGUUCGAUCCUCAGCACUGCA